GACGAACGCUGGCGGCGUGCUUAACACAUGCAAGUCGAACGGAAAGGCCCUGCUUUUGUGGGGUGUUCGAGUGGCGAACGGGUGAGUAACACGUGCGUAACCUGCCCUUGACUUUGGGGUAACUUCAGGAAACUGGGGCUAAUACCGGAUAGGAGCUCCUGCUGCAUGGUGGGGGUUGGAAAGUUUCGGCGGUUGGGGUUGGACUCGCGGCUUAUCAGCUUGUUGGUUGGGUAGUGGCUUACCAAGGCUUUGACGGGUAGCCGGCCUGAGAGGGUGACCGGCCACAUUGGGACUGAGAUACGGCCCAGACUCCUACGGGAGGCAGCAGUGGGGAAUAUUGCACAAUGGGCGGAAGCCUGAUGCAGCAACGCCGCGUGCGGGAUGACGGCCUUCGGGUUGUAAACCGCUUUCGCCUGUGACGAAGCGUGAAUGACGGUAAUGGGUAAAGAAGCACCGGCUAACUACGUG
Molecule: ribosomal RNA, 468 nt
Filed under: uncultured bacterium
Lineage: Bacteria
Description: partial 16S ribosomal RNA
Rfam family: Bacterial small subunit ribosomal RNA
Source: RNAcentral